This 2967-nucleotide ribosomal RNA is filed under the name Salmonella enterica subsp. enterica serovar Weltevreden. Its description in RNAcentral is "23S ribosomal RNA". It matches the Rfam family "Bacterial large subunit ribosomal RNA". Lineage: Bacteria; Pseudomonadati; Pseudomonadota; Gammaproteobacteria; Enterobacterales; Enterobacteriaceae. The record is from RNAcentral.
GGUUAAGCGACUAAGCGUACACGGUGGACCCCGGCAGUCAGAGGCGAUGAAGGGCGUGCUAUCUGCGAUAAGCGCCGGUAAGGUGAUAUGAACCGUUAUAACCGGCGAUACCCGAAUGGGGAAACCCAGUGUGAUUCGUCACACUAUCAUUAACUGAAUCCAUAGGUUACCGAGGCGAACCGGGGAACUGAAACAUCUAAGUACCCUCUGAGGAAAAGAAAUCAACCGAGAUCCCCCAGUAGCGGCGAGCGAACGGGAGGAGCCCAGAGCCUGAAUCAGCAUGUGUGUUAGUGAAGCGUCUGAAAGCGCGCGCGAUACAGGGCGACAGCCCCGUACACAAAAGCGCAUGUGCUGUGAGCUCGAUGAGUAGGGCGGGACACGGUAUCCUUGUCUGAAUAUAAAUCCAUCCUCCGUUGCCAAAUACCCUGACUGACCGAUAGUGAACCAGUACCGUGAGGGAAAGGCGAAAAGAACCCGGCGAGGGAGUGAAAGAACCUGAAACCGUGUACGUAUUAAAGCAGGGUCUCCACCAAUUAAAAGCGUUUCGCUUUGUGUGGUGCACAAAGAAGCGUAACGACAGCAUUCGAAUGACGGUUAACGGAGCGCAAGCGACGUUCAACAUACAAAGUCAAGCAGUGGGAGCGCUUUUGGGGUGGGGUGACUGCGUACCUUUUGUAUAAUGGGUCAGCGACUUAUAUUCUGUAGCAGCAAGGUUAACCGAAUAGGAGCCGGAGGGAAACCGAGUCUUAAUUGGGCGUUAAGCUGCAGGAGCAGACCGAAAACCCGGUGAUUCAGCCAUGGGCAGGUUGAAGGUUGGGUAACACUAACUGAGGACCGAACCGACUAAUGUUGAAAAAUUACGGGAUGACCUGUGGCUGGGGUGAAAGGCCAAUCAAACCGGGAGAUAGCUGGCUCUCCCGAAAGCUUAGGUAGCGCCCCUCGUAUCCUCGGGGUAGCAUAAUUGUUUCGGCUAGGGCCAUCCCGGCUUACCAACCCGAUGCAAACUGCGAAUACCGGAGAAUGUUAUCACGGGAGACACACGGCGGGUGCUAACGUCCGUCGUGAAGAGGGAAACAACCCGCGACCGCCAGCUGCGUCCCAAAGUCAUGGUUAAGGGAAAACGAGGGAAGGCCCAGACAGCCGUGAUGCUGGCUUGCAGCUGUUUCAUCAUUUCAAAGAAAGCGUAUACCACGGUCGAGUCGGCCCGCGUGGAAGAGCGUAACGGGGCUAAACCAUGCACCGAAGCUGCGGCAGCGACGCUUGCGUUGUUGCAGGGGAGCGUCGUAAGCUUCCGUGAAGGUGGCCGAGGGUUGCUGGAGGUAUCAGAAGUGCGAAUGCUGACAUAAGUAACGAUAGCGGGUGAAAGCCCGCUCGCCGGAAAUAAUCAAGGGCCUCUGGGUCCAACGUUAAUCGGGGCAGGGUGAGUCGACCCUGGGCGCGAGCCGAAGGCGUAGUCGAUGGGAAACGGUUAAUAUCUCCCGUACUUGGUGUUACUGCGAAGGGGAUGGAGAAGGCUAUGUUGGCCGGGCGACGGCUGUCCCGGUUUAAGCGUAGGUGUGUGUUCCGUGCAAAUCCGGUUCACUUUAACACUGAGGCGUGACGACGAGGCACUACGGUGCUGUAAGCAACAAAUGCCCUGCUUCAAAGAAAGUUUUCCCUAAGCAUCAGGUAACAUCAACAAAAUUCCCCAAACCGACACAGGUGGUCAGGUAGAGAAUACCAAGGCGCUUGAGAACUCGGGUGAAGGAACUAGGCAAAAUGGUGCCGUAACUGGGAGAAGGCACGCUGACACGUAGGUGAAGUGAUUUACCAUGGAGCUGAAGUCAGUCGAAGAUACCAGCUGGCUGCAACCGUUGUUAAAACACAGCACUGUGCAAACACGAAAGUGGACGUAUACGGUGUGACGCCUGCCCGGUGCCGGAAGGUUACCUGAUGGGGUCAGCGCAAGCGAAGCUCCUGAUCGAAGGCCCCGGUAAAACGGCGGCCGUAACUAGUAACGGUCCUAAGGUAGCGAAAUUCCUGUCGGGUAAGUUCCGACCCGCAAUGAAUGGCGUAAUGAUGGCCGUGCUGUUCCACCCGAGACUCAGUGAAAUUGAACUCGCUGUGAAGAUGCAGUGUACCCGCGGCAAGACGGAAAGACCCCGUGAACCUUGCUACUAUAGCUUGACACUGAACAUUGAGCCUUGAUGUGUAGGAUAGGUGGGAGGCUUUGAAGCGUGGACGCCAGUCUGCGUGGAGCCGACCUUGAAAUACCACCCCUUUAAUGUUUGAUGUUCUAACGUGACCCGUAAUCCGCUGCGACAGUGCCUGGUGGGUAGUUUGACUGGGGCGGCCUCCCAAAGAGUAACGGAGGAGCACGAAGGUUGGCUAAUCCUGGUCGGACAUCGAAGUAGCGCAAUGGCAUAAGCCAGCUUUUGACUGCGAGCGUGACGGCGCGAGCAGGUGCGAAAGCAGGUCAUAGUGAUCCGGUGGUUCUGAAAUGGAAGGGCCAUCGCUCAACGGAUAAAAGGUACUCCGGGGAUAAUAGGCUGAUACCGCCCAAGAAGUUCAUAUAUCGACGGCGGUGUUUGGCACCUCGAUGUCGGCUCAUCACAUCCUGGGCCAGCGAGGGUCAAGGGUAUGGCUGUUCGCCAUUUAAAGUGGUACGCUGGGUUUAGAACGUCGUGAGACAGUUCGGUCCCUAUUCGCCGUGGGCGCUGAGAACUGAGGGGGGCUGUUCCUAGUCGAGAGGACCGACCGAGUGGACGCAUCACUGGUGUUCGCUGUCAUGCCAAUGGCACUGCCCGGUAGCUAAAUGCGGAAGAGAUAAGUGCUGAAAGCAUCAAGCACGAAACUUGCCCCGAGAUGAGUUCUCCUGAGACUUAGAGUCUCCUGAAGGAAAUGCUGACGACGACGUUGAUAGGCCGGGUGUGUAAGCGCAGCGAUGCGUUGAGCCACCGGUACUAAUGAACCGUGAGGUUUAACCUU